This 521-nucleotide ribosomal RNA is filed under the name uncultured archaeon. RNAcentral describes it as "bacterial SSU rRNA". It matches the Rfam family "Archaeal small subunit ribosomal RNA", at positions 325 to 848 of the family's 1478-position model. The record is from RNAcentral.
ACGGGGUGCAGCAGGCGCGAAAACUUUGCAAUGUGCGAAAGCACGACAAGGUUAAUCCGAGUGGUUUCUGCUAAAGGAACCUUUUGACAGUCCUAGAAACACUGUUGAAUAAGGGGUGGGCAAGUUCUGGUGUCAGCCGCCGCGGUAAAACCAGCACCUCAAGUGGUCAGGAUGAUUAUUGGGCCUAAAGCACCCGUAGCCGGUUCUGUAAGUUUUCGGUUAAAUCUGUACGCUCAACGUACAGGCUGCUGGGAAUACUGCAGAACUAGGGAGUGGGAGAGAUAGACGGUACUCGGGAGGAAGUGGUAAAAUGCUUUGAUCUCUCGAUGACCACCUGUGGCGAAGGCGGUCUAUCAGAACACGUCCGACGGUGAGGGAUGAAAGCUGGGGGAGCAAACCGGAUUAGAUACCCGGGUAGUCCCAGCUGUAAACUAUGCAAACUCAAUGAUGCAUUGACUUAUGGUCAAUGCAGUGUUGCAGGGAAGCCGUUAAGUUUGCCGCCUGGAAGUACGUACGCAAGU